UGGGGAAUCUUGGACAAUGGGGGCAACCCUGAUCCAGCCAUGCCGCGUGAGUGAUGAAGGCCUUAGGGUCGUAAAGCUCUUUCGCCUGUGAAGAUAAUGACGGUAGCAGGUAAAGAAACCCCGGCUAACUCCGUGCCAGCAGCCGCGGUAAUACGGAGGGGGUUAGCGUUGUUCGGAAUUACUGGGCGUAAAGCGCACGUAGGCGGACCAGAAAGUUGGGGGUGAAAUCCCGGGGGCUCAACCCCGGAACUGCCUCCAAAACUAUUGGUCUAGAGUUCGAGAGAGGUGAGUGGAAUUCCAAGUGUAGAGGUGAAAUUCGUAGAUAUUUGGAGGAACACCAGUGGCGAAGGCGGCUCACUGGCUCGAUACUGACGCUGAGGUGCGAAAGUGUGGGGAGCAAAACAGGAUUAGAUACCCUGGUAGUCCACACCGUAAAACGAUGAAUGCCAGUCGUCGGGUAGCAUGCUAUUCGGUGACACACCUAACGGAUUAAGCAUUCCGCCUGGGGAGUAC
This 513-nucleotide ribosomal RNA is filed under the name uncultured bacterium. Its description in RNAcentral is "bacterial SSU rRNA". It matches the Rfam family "Bacterial small subunit ribosomal RNA", at positions 355 to 883 of the family's 1533-position model. The record is from RNAcentral.